This 761-nucleotide ribosomal RNA is filed under the name uncultured Glomus. RNAcentral describes it as "eukaryotic LSU rRNA". It matches the Rfam family "Eukaryotic large subunit ribosomal RNA", at positions 38 to 648 of the family's 3401-position model. The record is from RNAcentral. Lineage: Eukaryota; Fungi; Glomeromycota; Glomeromycetes; Glomerales; Glomeraceae.
GCAUAUCAAUAAGCGGAGGAAAAGAAAAUAACAAUGAUUCCCCUAGUAACUGCGAGUGAAGAGGGACAAGCUCAAAUUUUAAAUCCAUCGGGUUUUACCUGAUCGAGUUGUAAUUUGAAGAGGCGUUUUCUGUGUUUCUGAUCAGUCCAAGUCCUUUGGGAUAAGGCAUCAUGGAGGGUGAGAAUCCCGUCCGGUUGAUCAGAUUCGCUUUACGAUACGCUUUCUAAGAGUCAAGUUGUUUGGGAUUGCAGCUUAAAAUGGGAGGUAAAUUUCUCCUAAGGCUAAAUAACGGCGAGAGACCGAUAGCGAACAAGUACCGUGAGGGAAAGAUGAAAAGAACUUUGAAAAGAGAGUUAAAUAGUACGUGAAAUUGUUGAAAGGGAAACGAUUGAAGCCAGUCGUACCUAUGGGUAAUCAGCCUUUUGGGUGUGAUUUUGUGGAGCGUGAGGAGUUAAACGCCUUCAUGCCUGCAUAUUCGUGCACUUUGGGUGUACUUGCCCGUAUGGUUGGUUAACAUCAAUUUUGGUGGUCAUAAAAUGACUGGAGGAAUGUAGCUUCGAUCUCGUAUUGAAGUGUUAUAGCCUUCGGUAGAUGUGAUGAUCGAGAUUGAGGAUUGCAACGGAUACCCUUCGGGGCUACCUGUCUGAUCUCUGAUCGUUGCUCUGGUGCCGAAAGCUUGCUUACGGUUAUCAAAGUCGAUGGUCAAUAGGUUAGAACGGGUUAUUUUCGUUAAGGAUGUUGACGUAAUGGCUUUAAACGAC